This 468-nucleotide ribosomal RNA is filed under the name uncultured bacterium. RNAcentral's name for it is "partial 16S ribosomal RNA". It matches the Rfam family "Bacterial small subunit ribosomal RNA", at positions 28 to 507 of the family's 1533-position model. The record is from RNAcentral.
GACGAACGCUGGCGGCGUGCUUAACACAUGCAAGUCGAACGGAAAGGCCCUGCUUUUGUGGGGUGCUCGAGUGGCGAACGGGUGAGUAACACGUGAGUAACCUGCCCUUGACUUUGGGAUAACUUCAGGAAACUGGGGCUAAUACCGGCUAGGAGCUCCUGCUGCAUGGUGGGGGUUGGAAAGUUUCGGCGGUUGGGGAUGGACUCGCGGCUUAUCAGCUUGUUGGUGGGGUAGUGGCUUACCAAGGCUUUGACGGGUAGCCGGCCUGAGAGGGUGACCGGCCACAUGGGGACUGAGAUACGGCCCAGACGCCUACGGGAGGCAGCAGUGGGGAAUAUGGCACAAUGGGGGGAAGCCUGAUGCAGCAACGCCGCGUGCGGGAUGACGGCCUUCGGGUUGUAAACCGCUUUCGCCUGUGACGAAGCGUGAGUGACGGUAAUGGGUAAAGAAGCACCGGCUAACUACGUG